GACGAACGCUGGCGGCGUGCCUAAUACAUGCAAGUUGAGCGCUGAAGGUUGGUACUUGUACCAACUGGAUGAGCAGCGAACGGGUGAGUAACGCGUGGGGAAUCUGCCUUUGAGCGGGGGACAACAUUUGGAAACGAAUGCUAAUACCGCAUAAAAACUUUAAACACAAGUUUUAAGUUUGAAAGAUGCAAUUGCAUCACUCAAAGAUGAUCCCGCGUUGUAUUAGCUAGUUGGUGAGGUAAAGGCUCACCAAGGCGAUGAUACAUAGCCCACCUGAGAGGGUGAUCGGCCACAUUGGGACUGAGACACGGCCCAAACUCCUACGGGAGGCAGCAGUAGGGAAUCUUCGGCAAUGGACGAAAGUCUGACCGAGCAACGCCGCGUGAGUGAAGAAGGUUUUCGGAUCGUAAAACUCUGUUGGUAGAGAAGAACGUUGGUGAGAGUGGAAAGCUCAUCAAGUGACGGUAACUACCCAGAAAGGGACGGCUAACUACGUG
RNAcentral lists this ribosomal RNA (497 nucleotides) under uncultured bacterium. RNAcentral describes it as "partial 16S ribosomal RNA". It matches the Rfam family "Bacterial small subunit ribosomal RNA", at positions 28 to 507 of the family's 1533-position model. The record is from RNAcentral.